This 72-nucleotide transfer RNA is filed under the name Triticum dicoccoides. Its description in RNAcentral is "tRNA tRNA-Gln". It matches the Rfam family "tRNA". Rfam says of the family: Transfer RNA (tRNA) molecules are approximately 80 nucleotides in length. Their secondary structure includes four short double-helical elements and three loops (D, anti-codon, and T loops). The record is from RNAcentral. Lineage: Eukaryota; Viridiplantae; Streptophyta; Magnoliopsida; Poales; Poaceae.
GGUUCUAUGGUUUAGUGGUUAGCACUCCAGACUUUGAAUCUGGCGACCUGGGUUCGAAUCCCGGUAGGACCU